Molecule: long non-coding RNA, 2531 nt
Organism: Cryptomeria japonica (Japanese cedar)
Lineage: Eukaryota; Viridiplantae; Streptophyta; Pinopsida; Cupressales; Cupressaceae
Exons: 8
Source: RefSeq, a predicted model, not a curated record
UAAUGGAACCCCCAUGAAAGUAAUAAGGGCCAAGUAAUAAUACCUAGCACGAGUUCUUGUUCAUCUCUCAUUCCUCUAUUCACCAGAUGAAACAGAUUUCGCUUUAAGUGAAUUAUGGAGAAGGAUCUACUAAAUAAGCUGGUGAAGUCUCUGCAGAAGGUGCGGAUUUCUGUUGAGGAAGACUGUUGGUACAGGAAUUUCAGCACAGACACUGCCGGGGGAUUUUAGGAAGAAAUUGUCAAGUCUGUGAUAAAGAUCGCAAUUCUAGUGAAACACGGAGAGACUUUGAGGGCAGAAGUGAGCAAAAUAAUUGUGGAAAUUAUACAGAGUUUCGUAAAAAUUUAUAUCAACCGAGGUUUUAUAUGAUUUUCUGGAGCGCUUUGGUGAGGAAUUGCACCAGAUUUCAGCCUGACUAUGCCGAAAAGGAGGUGCGGAUUUCUGUUGAGGAAAACUUUUGGCUCAGGAAUUUCAGUGCAGACGCUGUUGAAGAAUUUUAGGAAAAAAUUAUCAAAAUAUGUUCAUAAAGGUCGCAAUUUUGAAACACGGAGAGACUUUCAGGGCAGAAGCGAGCAGAAUAAUUGUGGAAAUUAUACAGGGUUUGAAAUUUACAAUAAGCGAGGUUUUAUACGAUUUUCUGGAGCGCUUUGGUGAGGAAAUCCACCAGAUUUCAGGCUGCGAUGCCGAAAAGGUGGGGGUUUUCCAAUAGACGUGACUGCCGAGAACCCACCCAAAAUCCAGCCUUACUGUAAUUGAAAGACUGCCGCCAAAUAUGGUGGACGAUUUGAGACAUAAUUUUGCAGAAUGGCAGAUUUGCUGGCGCGAAAAUUAGCUGGAUUUUAAUCGGAUGCCCUCUGCUAGGGUAGUUUAGAUCUGGCUCUUCUGUUAGGUGUUACUAUUUCUUAGGUAGAUGCAGCGGCAAUGGCGCGGUUUUUUAGCGCUGCAUCGAAUUUAGAAAAGAAUCUGCUAAACAUGGCGGUGGAGUUUCUGGAGGCCAUGCGGCAGUGUUUUGAAAAGGAAUUUCAGCGCAGGUGCUGUCGGAAAAUUUAAGAGGAGAUUAUGGAAUGUGUGCCGAAGAUAGCGGGUUCGAAACACAGAGAGGAUUACAGGGCAGGUCUGAGCAUGAUAAUCGUGGAAAUUACACAGGGAUCUGGUAGUAAUUUUUAUGAGGCGAGAUUUGCUUUGGUUUUCUUGAUCUUCUUCAUAAUUGUGAGAGGUUGGAAGCUAGCGAUGCUGAAAAGUACAAGUGGAAGUUUGAAGUAAAAUGCCCUGCUUCUCACAUGACAUUCAAGAAAGCAGUAACGCAAAAAGAUCAAUUCAGAUCGCGGGUUCGAGACACAGAGUGGGCUACAGGGCAGGUCUGAGCAGGAUAAUCGCGGAAAUUACACAGGGAUUUGGUAGUAAUUUUCAUACAGGCGAGAUUUGCUUUGGUUUUCUUGAUCUUUGUCAUAAUUGUGAGAGGUUGGAGGCUGGCGAUGCUGAAAAGUACAAGUGGAAGAUUGAAGUAAAAUGUCCUGCUUCUUACAUGGCAUUCAAGAAAGCAGUAAUGCAAAAAGAUCAAUUUAGAUCGCGGGUUCGAGACACAGAAUGGGCUACAGGGCAGGUCUGAACAGGAUAUUACACAAGGAUUUGGUAAUAAUUUUCAUGAGGCGAGAUUUGCUAUGGUUUUCUUGAUCUGCUUUCGCGGGGAAUUGUGAGAGGUUGGAGACUGGCGAUGCCGAAAAGUACAAGUGGAAGUUUGAAGUAAAAUGUCCUGCUUCUUCUAUGGCAUUCAAGAAAGCAGUAACGCAAAAAGCUCAAUUUAGAUCGCGGGUUCGAGACACAGAGUGAGCUACAGGGCAGGUCUGAGCAGGAUAAUCGCGGAAAUUACAUUUGGAUUUGGUAAUAAUUUUCAUGAGGCGAGAUUCGCUAUGGUUUUCUUGAUCUGCUUUCGCGGGGAAUUGUGAGAGGUUGGAGGCUGGAGGCUGGCGUUGCCGAAAAGGGUGCAGGCAGAGGAUCUUCUAUCUCAACUCGAGCAUAAGGUUUCUCUGUCAAACAGAAAUUGGAGACUAUGUCCAGCCACAUCAGCUGAAGACCUGGAGAGGGAAGGUGGAAAUGACUCGGGCAAACCAAAUCAAAGUUUUACUUCGAACUUCAAUCCCUUAAUUAUCAAAGAAUGAUUAAGGACAGAACAAAAUCCUUUUUCGUUAGGAAUAAAGGAUUAAGGGCAGGGGAAAAUCCCUUUUAUUUGGGAAUCAUUAGAGGAUAAAGCAAAGUGACAAUUUACUGCUGAAUCAAGGCAACGAAUUUCUGAGACAAUUCCUGCAAUAGCGCUAAAAUACACAAUACACAUAAGACAGUUCAUUCCGGGCUCUCGCAUAUUGAAGACACCCAAUUCAAGAUAUGUAAUGGAUUUGAAUUUUGAUCAAUCCAGAGCUCGCAUAUAUUUCGGGUACCCAAAUUCAAAAUGGGCAAAAGAUUUGAACAAUUCAGAACUCCUAUAUUACGGAUACCCAAAUUCAAAAUAGGCAAACGAAUUUAUAAUUCAGUCCUUA